CUCAAUUCUCUGCCUCUACUGAUUUUGCCCGCAAUCGCUCAAUUCUCAUAGGAAGCUGUUGAAUCUGAGAGGAGAAUUUUUUUUGUUACUUCGCUCAGCUCUCCGGCAUUCUUCUUCUUCCUCUUUCUUUUUUCCUUUAUUUUUGGUGGAUUUCAUAGUCAUGUGUCUUUGGCUCUUCGGUUACAAACUACUCAAAUAGAAUACAGAAGGACUCUGUAAACAAAAAUUAUGCGGUCACAAGUGUUUCAAUUUUAUAGCAGUCAAUGGUAUUAAGAAGAACUCAAUGUGAAUAGAUGAAGGCUCUGUGAACAAAAUUACCAAAGGGAUUGAGUCAUUGUCCAACAAUAUAGAGAUGUUGCAGCAGCUCCUUGAUAGUGUUGACUAAUUGGCGAUGAAUUUCAGAAUCCUUCAAGAAACUUCUAUGCAUAAGUACGUGAAUUUCCUCUACUUUGUUCUCAGUAUCCCAUGAACUGAAGAAACUUGUGA
This is a long non-coding RNA of Nicotiana tabacum (common tobacco), 486 nucleotides long. RefSeq lists it as uncharacterized. The record is from RefSeq and is a predicted model, not a curated record. NCBI's taxonomy places the organism in Eukaryota, Viridiplantae, Streptophyta, Magnoliopsida, Solanales, Solanaceae.